This 409-nucleotide ribosomal RNA is filed under the name bacterium. RNAcentral describes it as "partial 16S ribosomal RNA". It matches the Rfam family "Bacterial small subunit ribosomal RNA", at positions 355 to 776 of the family's 1533-position model. The record is from RNAcentral.
UGGGGAAUAUUGCACAAUGGGCGAAAGCCUGAUGCAGCGACGCCGCGUGAGGGAUGACGUCCUUCGGGUUGUAAACCCCUUUCAGUAGGUACGAAGCGCAAGUGACGGUACCUGCAGAAGAAGCACCGGCUAACUACGUGCCAGCAGCCGCGGUAAUACGUAGUGUGCGAGCGUUGUUCGGAAUUACUGGGCGUAGAGAGCUCGUAGGCGGAUUGUCACGUCGUCUGUGAAAUCCUAGGGCUUAACCCUGGACGUGCUGGGGAUACGAGAGGACUGGAGUACUGCAGGGGAGGCUGGAAUUUCUGGGGUAGCGGUGGAAUGCACAGAGAUCAGGAAGAACACCAAUAGCGAAGGCAGGUCUCUGGGUAGUAACUGAAGCUAAGGAGCGAAAGCAUGGGUAGCGAAGAGG